AUCCAAUCGUAUCAUGACAACACCCUGUUUUCAUGGCUCGGUACCGUUACAUUCUCACUGCAUCACCACUACAAGGCAGAAGAAACGAGUCGAAGCUGCGAGUGCAACGACAUAAAUUUAAUACAUUUACAAAACACGGAUAUUUGUCUAAUGUGUUCGUUGACUGUUCGUCCGUGAAGGCAUUCCAGGUGGAAGUAGUAUGCUUAUUAACAGAAUGGACGCAGAGAGAGGUGAUCCCUCUGCCAGAAGAGCAAGACCUCAUGCAAAGGAGUUGCUAACUUAGCAACACUGGCAGGAUAUAUUAGGAAUGAAUGGGAAACAGUGCGUCAGUCAGAAAGGCUAAAGUAGCGAUUGGCAGCAUGCCACAGCUAAAUGAAUAUAGCAGAAAUGCUGUUCAAUCCAUUGGAUAUCGUGUUCCAGGCUUGUUAUUGCUUCUCUUAGUUUGCCAGUGUAUUACACUUUCGCUUGUUCUGCUGAUCACCUGCAUCCCCUCCGCAGUACCUAAAUGCCCCACCUAGCUCCCCCCCAAGCUGAGCUAAGGGGUGUUGUAAGGCACAACACAAAGCAGAAUGAUUAAAACCCCUUUAGCUGUUAUAAAAUGCACUGUAACCUUCUACUUCUUGCUUCUUUCAUGUGGGCCUCAUUAUGAGCAUUUUCGAUG
Long non-coding RNA from Triplophysa dalaica, 661 nucleotides. RefSeq lists it as uncharacterized. The record is from RefSeq and is a predicted model, not a curated record. NCBI's taxonomy places the organism in Eukaryota, Metazoa, Chordata, Actinopteri, Cypriniformes, Nemacheilidae. The transcript is spliced from 3 exons.